AUAAAUGCUGCUGCUUUUUUUUUAAGAUUUGACCUCAUGCAAAACCACAGAUCUCUCUACCGUACUCCUCUCGAGUCCUACGGAUUGCAGCCAGCUCAACAAAUUUUGUCAUGUUCACCGUUCACGCUCUCCAAACAACUUGAUGAUGAUUCCUAAAAAAAAAACUUGAUGAUCUAGAUUGGGAACCGAUCGAACAGUGGGCGGGGCUAUGGCUUGCAAUACGACAGCUACCUUUUGUCUGCAACCAAUUUGACACCAGCAAUAACAACCGCUAGCUCACUUAAAAGUCCAAAAUCAUAUCCCAUGCGGCGAGAUUGCACCUCACAUUGGAAUAAAACAUCUAUAAAAAAUCCCAUCCCAUCCAUCACGAACAGGCCAAGGCUGUCAGGCUUUUUCUUGACUAAGAUAACAAUUCUUUUGGUAGUACAAAUCGUGAAAUUUGAAAGUGUUUAAUGUCCCUCCUGUUUGAUUUAAUUUUGUAUAAACUUGAGUAUAUAUGCUUAUUUGCAUCAUUUUCAAUCCAACUUAGUUUACGCAAUAUUUCUUCAUAAUUCGAUCAUUUUAAAGGUCCUAUGUUGAUUAUAUUACAUUACUUGAUAUAUCACAAUAGGUGAAAGAGUAACACAUAUGAGAUUAAACAUACAAAACUUAGUCUCCGGUGCACAAUGCCUAAAUUUAUAUGAUGACAAAGUUAAACUUAAUCUUGAUGGGAUCUGGAUAGUUUUGGCAACCUUGAUUAUACCUCUUCCUGUCAUAACUACUCAACAAAGUUUAACAUACGAGUAUACGACCUCACCAUUGCAAAGUGACACACUAGCCGUGCCAAUUUUCUAGCUCAUCAUACACGCACACGCUGUUUGCACAAUGCAAAAUUCUUGUAAAAUCUUACACGGAAAAUAAUGCUCCUUUGGAAUCAAGAACUCGUCGCUCUCAUCUUUUGUCUUCAACCAAUUGUCACCAAUGAUACCACCCACCCACUUGCUCAUCAAAAUCCAACCCAAUAGGAGAAAUAUCACAGCUCUCGGCGGCGGAAAAAUAUCCUAUAAAAAUUGCAAUGCAUCAUAUCAUGGAAAUCGUUGUCCUUCUGUGCUUUAAUUUUUUAAUAAUCCGUACAAAGAAAUGAUAUAGUAGCAAGUGAUCUCAAAAAUAAGUUUGGUGUCAUUUUGUUCUAAAAUACCAAAUCCUCUUUGUAAAAUCAUGAAUUACGACCUCAACCCCAAACACAAGACCCUCC
This 1234-nucleotide long non-coding RNA is filed under the name Setaria viridis. RNAcentral's name for it is "long non-coding RNA (SVIR_LNC000087)". Lineage: Eukaryota; Viridiplantae; Streptophyta; Magnoliopsida; Poales; Poaceae. The record is from RNAcentral.